GUUCAUGUUAUUUAACAAGAGCUUCCUGUGAACUUAAAGCUGGAUUCACAGCUGGCAGCAACGGGCCUCCUGUUUCUCACAUCAUCUAACUUUCUCUUUCAUUUUUGUGCUACAUAACUCCUUUUCCUGCUUUAUUUUUGCUAGCUCAUUCAUUUAUUCAAGCAUGUGUUCAGAGUUUUUUGUGUUAGGAACUGAAGAAUUAAUAUACUCUGAACUUGGAGAGCUGUUGGCUUGGAAUGGAGAAGAAAGACAACAGUGAUGAUAGUUUACCACAGUAAAUUCUCAUAGAAAUGAAUACAGAGAGGAGUGACAGAUAUAGAGGGAGGAUGCCAUGACAAUACCUCAAUGCAAAAGUUUUUGAGGGGCAUCUCACAGGCACAGGAUUUUAGUCCAAUGAAUUGGUCAAAGUAAUGUCAAGAAACAAACCACCCUAAUUAUUUUAACAUAAUUAAUAUAAAGAUUUGAUUAUUCAGCAACUGAAAAUGCCACAGAAUUCAAUGUAUCACGUGAUGACAACUGCAGGAAGCAGCCAUGAUGUCUAAAGUGAGAGGGACAAAAGGAAGAUGUUGGGAAUAUUACAAUUUAGAUGUUUAGAGAAGGGCUUUGUGGAAGAAAAACUCAGAUCACUGAGGAGAAAGCAGCAUCCACUUGUAAUGAUGUCUCAAACAGGAGUUGAAAGUGGGGAAACUGCAAACCAGAUCCAACUUCACUAUGGGAAGAUGUGUACCUCUCCCUCUAAGAGCUUCAAAUCUCUCUUCAGCCUGGGGAUGAGAAUCAGACACAUGGGCUAGAGCUGAACUUGGUCUGCAUCUUGAAGCAGAGAAGCUCCAUCAUCAAGAGAGUCAUUCCCUGGGGAAGCUGAAUGCGGUCAGAAAGGGGGCCAUUCACUCCUGUCACACCCCACAUAGUGAAGACCAUUGUGCUAAAAUAUUUGUUGAAAACUUUUAAGAUCAGAGUCAUGCCAAUCAGGGCAGCCCCAGCCAACUUACCAAUCCAUGAAUGAGAAAUA
Molecule: long non-coding RNA, 1009 nt
Filed under: Marmota monax (woodchuck)
Lineage: Eukaryota; Metazoa; Chordata; Mammalia; Rodentia; Sciuridae
Source: RNAcentral